AAGAUUGUAGGUAAUGUGUCUGUAGAAACUGAGUCCAUUAUUUGCUUUUAUAAUAUGCUGUUGCUGUUUCUUUCCGCUAUAGAUUUUUCUCGUAAAUGUAAUCUAAAAAUAAACUUCCAGUUAAGACAAUGAAAUAGAAGAACUUCAUGCUUACACUUGCAUCAGUGGAAGAACUUCAUAUUGGAUAGCGAACCUUGCAAGUAACAAAAAGCCUGAAAUGAGAGCGCUUAAGAACAAUGAGAAGUUUGAUGCAUAGAUGGGAAUUGGCCACUUUUGUAUAUAUAAGUCUACAUCGUCCCAGAUUCGACCAAAGACAUUUAUUUGCUGCUAUGAAUGACGUUCAGCUGCAGGCCUUUAAGUCUCACACAAGAUGCUGGUUCAGUCGCACGAAUGGUCACUGGAAUUCACAAGAGUCACUGGAAAAAUUAGGAGAACCAGUUGAAGUUGCUCAGGUUGAUAUAUUUACAGACAUUUAUCCAGUUUGGAACAUUCAGCAGACAGUGAUGUACAUUUAAAUCAUUAUAAAUAUUAGAGAGGGGCUGUUUUUGCCAGAGAGCUUGGCUGUGAUACACAACUUAAGAUUUUGUACAGUGUAAAUUGUAAGGGUGUUCAAGAUGCAUGUACAGUGUGCACUGAAUGUCAUUAAACUGUAAGAUUUGAGUUAUAAGCUUUUUAUUAAGCUCACAUAAUUAUAGACUUCUCAGAGCUGGCUUAUUUUUACCUACGGUAGCUAUAUAUGAGUGAUCACUGAAAAGUACAUGACACAUUUAAGUACAAAAGUUAUUAUCCCCCGACGGAGGAAUAUAGUCUUGGCGUUGUCCGUCCUUCAGUCCGUCUUUCCGUCCGUCCGUCCGGAGCCAUAUCUAGAAAAUGGUUGGGAAUAUUUAUUUAAAACUUCAUAUACAUGUUAACCAUUAUGCGUUCUUGCGGCCCAUUAAGUUUCAGUCAGAUUGCCCUAGUAACAUCAGAGUUAUGGCUCUUAGAAAUUUCUAGUGUUAACUAUAUAGAGUACUAUAAAUAUGGCAAUUUCUGCAUCAUAACUUUUGAUAUAUUUGACCUAUAACUAUGAAACUUAAACAGAAUUUAGAUCACCAUAAUGUGGUUGUGUACACACAGUUUAGUUUGGAUGUAUGUGUAAAUUAAGAGUUAUUGCCCUUUAAUUGUAUAAAAAUCCAUAUAUUUGUACAUAACAAACUUACCAUUUGGUAGAAUUUCAUUAAAUUUCUUUCAUUCUUUUCCAUGAACAUAUAUUGUAAACAUGUGAAGUUGUGUACCCGCACCUGGUCACCCCCUUACCUUGAUCACACCCUUCCCCUCCCGAUCCCCCGGCACGCCCCCGCCCCCCCCCCCCCCCACCCCCCCAAAAAAAUCAUUCCUUAUUUUAGAUAUUUUUCAAAAAAAACUUAAUAUACAUGUUCACCACAAUGAGGUUAUGAGGCCCAUCAAGUUUUAGAAAGAUUGCCCAAGUAACACCAGAGUUAUGGCCCUAAGAAGUUUCUAGUGUUAACUAUAUAGGGUACUAUAGAUAUGGCAAUUUCUGCAUCAUAACUUUUGAUAUAUUUGACCUUGAACUAUGAAACUUUAACAGAAUUUAGAGCUCUAUAAUGUGGUUGUGCGCACACAAUUUCGUACGAAUUUCUUUUGUAACUUCAGAGUUAUUGCCCUUUAAUUGUCUAAAAAUCCACAUAUUUGUACAUAACAAACUUCCCAUUUGGCAGAAUUUCAUUAAAUUUCUUUCAUUCUUUUUUGUGAACAUUUCUUAUAACAUGUGAAGUUGCGCACCCACACCUGGUCACCCACUUGCCUUGGUCACACACC
Molecule: long non-coding RNA, 1818 nt
Organism: Mercenaria mercenaria
Lineage: Eukaryota; Metazoa; Mollusca; Bivalvia; Venerida; Veneridae
Exons: 3
Source: RefSeq, a predicted model, not a curated record